RNAcentral lists this ribosomal RNA (710 nucleotides) under uncultured bacterium. Its description in RNAcentral is "bacterial SSU rRNA". It matches the Rfam family "Archaeal small subunit ribosomal RNA", at positions 725 to 1442 of the family's 1478-position model. The record is from RNAcentral.
AGGAUUAGAUACCCGGGUAGUCCCAGCUGUAAACGAUGCAGGCUAGGUGUUUGGACGGCCACGUGCCGUUCUAGUGCCGCAGGGAAGCUGUUAAGCCUGCCGCCUGGGGAGUACGAUCGCAAGAUUGAAACUUAAAGGAAUUGGCGGGGGAGCACCACAAGGGGUGAAGCUUGCGGUUUAAUUGGAGUCAACGCCGGAAAUCUCACCGGGAGCGACAGCAGUGUGAAGGCCAGAUUAAAGGUCUUGCCAGACGAGCUGAGAGGAGGUGCAUGGCCGUCGCCAGUUCGUGCCGUGAGGUGUCCUGUUAAGUCAGGCAACGAUCGAGACCCGCGUCCUCUGUUGCAACCAGCUUUGAGCUGGGCACACUGAGGAGACCGCCACUGAUAAAGUGGAGGAAGGAGCGGGCCACGGCAGGUCAGUAUGCCCCGAAUCUCCCGGGCCACACGCGAGCUGCAAUGGCAGGUACAAUGGGUUCCGACCUCGAAAGGGGGAGGCAAUCUCGAAAGCCUGCCGUAGUUGGGAUCGAGGGUUGAAACCCACCCUCGUGAACAUGGAAUCCCUAGUAAUCGCGUGUCACUAGCGCGCGGUGAAUACGUCCCUGCUCCUUGCACACACCGCCCGUCGUUCCAUCCGAGUGACUCUUGGGUGAGGUGCCGUCUAAUUGGCGGUAUCGAAUCUAAGUUUCAUAAAGAGGGAAAAGUCGUAACAAG